GAAGCCUAGUAUGUCGCGACGACAUCUACAUCACCAAACAAGGUUAGUCCUAACAUUCCCAUCUACUUAAAUCCCACGUUGGAACAACUUGGUUUAUCCUAAGGUAGAAGGGCGACUCUUAUUUUUGACUCGAUAAAAUAAACAUCACAACACAAAAUUUCUCUUUUAUACUUCCAUAUUCAUUCACACAUCACAAUACUUUUCCGCAUCUCAUCACCACAUUAUUCCUCAUCACAACACAACACAACACAACACACAAAGUUAUCCAACGAUAAGACUUUGUUCAAUCCAUAAACAUAUCUUACAUUCAUAUCAUACAUUUUUUCUUACAACGGUGGGUUUACACAUACCCAUUCAAAUUUUCUUACAAUUUCGGAUUUAUAACCACUACACACUUGCUCUCACACUUUUCGCCGAAGAGAUUACAAACCAAUAUAGUACAAUCCUAAAAUGCAAUGCUAGAAUGAAAUGCAACAAGGAAUCAUACACUGAGUUAGAACCCUUACUUACCUCGCUGGAACCUAACGGUUUGAAGGUUUAGGGUAAUCCUAGUUAAUACUAAGGUUUUUCUUCUUCUACGCGAACGUACUCGGGCUUGGGCUUGACGGACCGGGAUUCUCUGGACGCUUCCUUGGACACACGGUCGCGUAAUAACCUUCACCUCCACACUCAUAACAGAUCACGUACGGGCGAGCAUAAGGAUGAUAGUGACAAACAUAAGGACAAGCUCUCGGGUAAUGACCAUCUUGGCCGCAAGUGAAGCAAAACGACAUUACACUAUAAGGUUCGGACCUACGUCCAUCCUCACGCUCUAUCUCAGUCACAACGGUUCUAUUCGCGGAUCUCCUUAUCUUUUCAUUCCAAAUGGGUAUACCUUCGGGUGGUCGGAUUGGCUCAAUACCAAGGGUACCCACAACAAUCAUGUUCUCAAUCAUCGUAGCUAUGGAACUAGAUUCCAAAGUCACCGGCUCACGAAUCGACUCAUCCGGAGGAAACAACACUCCCGGCUCAUCAACUGGUGGCUGAGUACCCGGGGCACACUCAAACAUCAGAUCCGACACUUCUUCACCCACGUCUUCGUCAACUUCUUCAUCCUCAGAACUCAUAUGGAGCAUCUAACUAGUAGCUCCAUCAUACCCAUCAUACCAAGUCCUACUAGCAAAUCUCCUUGGCGAAAUAGACAUCCUCGACAUCUCGGUUUUCACACUUUUGGAAAAUGGCACCCCACUACCCAACUCAUCCGCAUUAGAUAACUCACUAUCCGACGAGAUUUCAACAAAGUUCAGGGUUGGCGGACUAGGUGGCGUAGCAAAUUCGACAUCGGGCGACACCAUGUUGUAAGCCAGCGCUUGCCUAGGAAUCCCAUAUUUUGUCAGCAUAAACACAACACAGUCAGAUUCGCGCGAGGCAUUACCUUCCGAAGGCGCAUCAGAAACACCAAAGUCUAUCCCCAAGAACAUUGAGCUGAACGAAUCCAACGUCAACAAGCUAUCCGGCGUCGGAGGAUAAAGGUAUGUGUGGAUGUAGGAUUCACACUCGAUUAUCUUUAAGUAUUUUUGUGGAGAAAAACUCUUGUUAAAUCAGGAAAUAAAUAUGAGAAUUUGAAAAGGAAAACAACCAAGAAAACGAGUAAAGAAAUUUGAAGAAAGAUGAAGUGCAAAAUGCCUUGCGAAAAUAGUAAAGAGAGAAAGAAGUAUUGUAUUGUUUAGAAGUAAUCAGUAAUGAGAUUCGUCCUUCUCAAACACAUGCGUUUGAGGUUGUUUUUAUAGAGAAAACAUGAUCAAUGCCGUCAUUUACUGCUUAUAAUCGCGUUGAUCAGCAUUAAUCAUGUAAGUUACAUUUUGACCGAAACGGCUUGAAUUUGAACUAUCUUGGGCUUCGCGUGGAUCUUCCGAACUCUUUCUUGUUGACUCCGAACUCCCGCGUCUUGACGCUGCCGCGAGCCUCGAACAAUAUUCUCCUCGCUUUGGCCUUUCUCUAUGCGAACUGUAUGUUGAACAAGAGAGAACUCCGUACUGGUAAAGAUCGAACUCUUUUAGUAAACUGAAUCGAACUCCCGACAGAUUAAGCUCGAUUCUCAUAACAAAAUAUCUUUAAUUCCAAGAGGAUUAUUAUGUAAUAAUGACGUGGACAGAUCCAACUGGAUCCUACCAAAAAUGUGUGGGAUCCGACCCCAACAUUUAGCCCCCCAAGUCUUGCGAGCUAUGUGCUCGGCUUGGAAGACUUAAGUAAACAGUAAUUAAUGACUCAAGAUCUUUAACAUUCUGGAAUUAUUCCAUGUUUUACGUUAUUACGCCGAUCUCGGAUAAUCAAAUGAUUUGAUAUCCCUGACAACCGUCAUCAUUAAUUUUCUAAUUUUAUAUUAAUACUGCGGGGAAAACUAUCCCACUUCCCAAUAUUCUCGAGGCGGUUUUCUGCUAAAUAAGGUUAAAUGGAACGACGGCUUUUACAGCAGCGUACAUUUACCCCUAAAAACUUUUACCAAACCAGAAAAAGCGAAAUCUCUUAGUAAAAAAAUGUCUUCCCCAGCCGUCUAUGUUUCGGACAACGAAGAUGACAGUCAAGGAAUCCCUGUUCCCAGAGGGGACGAAGUCUUCACCCAAAGAGGAGACAAAUUUGGUCCGCAUUUCAGGUCUCAGUCGACCCCUGCUUCCCUUGGCGCUCUUCGCCGCCUUUGUAACAUCCCUCAGGAAAUUGAAUUCUCUCUUCCUAGACCCAACGAGUCUCCGGAAGUGGUGCGAGAGGGUUACUGUUGUGCGUACGAAGUCUAUUUCAAAGGUUGCGGUUUGUUUUUUCCCAUACCGGAAGUUCUUCUAUUGUACCUCCUCCACCUAGGGAUUGCCUUUCCCCAAAUGGCUCCCAACUUUCUUCGAUACGUUCUGAGCACCCUGACUGUUUGGGCAGAAGCAGGGUUUUUCCUCACCACUAGCGAACUCUUAGGGCUAUUUCGAGCCCGUGAAUCCGCAGCAGCGGGUAUUUUUUCUAUGAACCCUAUUCUUGACCGUAACCUGAUCGACGAAAUGCCCUCGAAUGACGGGUCUUGGAGGAAAUACUGGUUCUUUUUCCGAGUCAAUCCCCAUUCCGUUCAAGGCCUUUCCGGUCUUCUUCUCGCCAAUUGGUCGGCUAAACUUGGUUAGAAAUCCAACCUUUAUUACUUUCCACUGUAUUGUGUAAAAGAGAUAGAAUUCUUAACUCAGCACUUUGUUUCAGGGAACCAGACGAUCCCCCUCCCAACUGUUGACUUCUUGUCUUUCUUUCGAAUUGUUUCUGAGGGUGAAACAAAUUGGAAAUCUUUCACCCUUCAACGCAUUCAUAAAACGGGGCUCGCCAUCAAAGACGGUCAGACUCACCCCCUCGAUCCUCCUCCCGAAGAGAAAGACGUCUCGAGCCUGAAUGCUCGAGAUAAAAGAAAAAUGCAAGCCGAAACCAAGGCUCUUAAGGAUCAGUUAUCCGAAAUAGGGAGAAAGAAGCGGAUAGCCGCAAUCUCCAAGGUUAGUAACUUCCACAGGAAGACCCUCUUGGUUGAUGAUGGAUCAUUAGAAGCGGCCCUGUCAAUUGCGGUGGAUGUUCAUGGAGCCGAGAUUCUUAAUGACCCUCCAGUCGCCACCGCAAUUUGCCCUUCCGAACAAGAGCAAGAGGGAGAAGUAACUUCCUCUCCUUGUACAAAGAGGAAGGCUUCAGAUUCUGAUACUCUAUCAAACGAGAGACUCAAAACCGUGAGAUUAAGUUCUCCGCCACGAGUCCCUAGCCCUCUGCAUUCUGUUUUUCCCUCUUCAGAACCUUUAGACUCUGAGCUCCCUCUUCCGGGAGACAGAGUAAUUCCAGAGGAAAUCGAUGAGCCGAGACCGGAGGCUCCCCUAUCUCAAGGACUGAGUGUUAGGACUCAAAAUCCUUUACCCGCUUCGAUUUCAGGUAAGUUUUUACUUAGAAAGCGAGCAUUAGCAAGACUUGUUACGGAUUGUAGCUUAUUUUAUCAAUCUGCUAUUCUCCUCUGCUUCAUAGGUGGAGAAGAGAUUGGCGACAUCUUCCGAAGUUUCCAAACCAGGGAAGGGGUGUCCCUUCCUCCUUUUUCGGUUUAGAGGCCGGAAAUCCGUCAGAUGUUCGCUAAUCGAGUCUGCUACCUAUCCUUGGUUCGGAUCUUUUAGAUUAUGGCAAUCCCUCUUUCUUAGGUAAAAAACUUUUUGUCUUAAUGACACGUUGUUGUUUUUUUUUUUUAAUCCGAAAGCGUUUAUGGAGACUAAUGGAAUGAUCUUCCAUUAUGAGAACCUUCUUCACCAAGCGAAGAGAGAGACCGCAAAGGCUAAGAAGGAGGUUGAUGAACUUAGAUUAGUCACCUAGUCUGAGCAACUUUAGCGGGCAAAAGCACUCGAGUCAUCUUUUGAGAACAUGAAGAAAACUCUAGUAGCUAACGAGCAACGCAUCAGAAUUUCGAAUGCUAAAAGAGAUUCUGCGAGGUCUAAUGCUCUUCGUUUGGAGGCUGAGCUAGAAGAGACUACGGCUUUGUUCGAAGAGGCGAAUCAAGAGAUCAAGCUUUUAACUAGGAACAGGGCUCGCGAUAUCGCUGAAGCCAAACAUAACGCUCGAGAAGAGAUGAGGGGAUUCGGUAGGCAACUUAUUCAAUCUGUUACGAAGUUCAUCAAGGACGAAGAGGUCUGGACUAAACUUCUAACCGAUCGAGCCGAACUAAAGAGCAAUCUAGACCUGAUUAAGGAACUAGAGACUAGAAGAGUUUCGUUCGAGAGCGAGAGGAGCGAAGUUGCUGCCGAACUCGCUGUGGUUGAAUCCGAGCUAUCCUCGGCUUCCCGUCAUACUCUCGAUUUGAAACAAUUUCUUUGGUAUUUGGAGAUUCCCCCUCUCAAUUCGAGGUAGGCGAAGGUUCUCGGCCACACGAGGGUUCUCUUGAGGCAGAGGAACGCUCUUAAAGAAUUGUUUUGUUGUAUCCAUGGGGAUUAAUCCGUUUGACGGAAAUGUUUUGUUUUUGAUUAGUGUGAUUGAACACCAAAGAGGUUUUAUGAAUUGUGAGAGAUGAGCUGAUCAGGCUCACUUGCCUUUUUUAAAGAAAAAAUUUUAACAAGUAUUUUUACUCGGUCUCUCGGGUGCGAGGAUAGAGCUCAGCUUAGGCUUUUUAUCGAGGGAUAAGGUUUUUACAAUUCAUGAGAAUUUUGUCAUAAGAAUGACCAGGCAAUGGUUUCGAUCAUGGCCUAAAAAAUGGCUCCGAAAGUGUUGGGCCAUGUUUUAAUUGGACCCGAAAUCUGCUUUAGUAGGUCCAUUAUUUAUUAUUCCUUUAAAGAGUCCGAACACUUUUCUUUAAAAGAAUUCUUAGAAACUCGUAGUUUUUUGUAAGAAAAACGAGACUAUGCCGCUAUACUCUUUCAGAUCCAGCUCAAGAGUAACAACCUCAAGCAGGGAUCCACUAUUUGAAUCCGAGGACGGAUUUUCUCCCAAGGGAGUUAUUCACCCCACGUUUUUCCAUUUCCGAACGGAGAAAGAAAGGGUCCAAUGUUAUGACUUCCUGGAAAAGGUUCCCUUUCUGAUUUUUAGUUUUUUCGAGAAACUGUAAACUCUUCUACGACCAGUUAACAAAAUGUUUGUUCAAACAGGUCGUCGGGAGACACAAAGCUUUAUGUGAUACGAGAAAAUGAAUCGGAAGAAGGCGUCGUGCUCUUGAUGAGCGAAUAAAGAGGAUAGAAAGAGAGCUCCUUCGCCUAGAAUCUGAACCGCAUGAAUGGGAGAGGAACGGUUUAGACAUUGUGGCCAUUAUUCCUACUUGCCUCCGAAGAUUCCUUCGUAUGCUGGAUAAAUUUUUUUAUCUAUCGUUGGCAACCGGCGACAGAUCCUCUUUUGCUUCAUGUUCUUCAGAAUUUUGGAGAUUUCCGAUGUUAAGAACUGAAGAAAACGAAGGACCAGAGGAGAAAACUAUUGAUCAUCCUUCCGGUCCCCUAGAUUUAUCUUCCGACGAGGGACUUUCUUCAUAAAGCUGUUCGGGAUCGUCCACCUCGCUAGAAUCGUUAUCGGGCGAAGACUUCUGAUCGAACAAGUCCCUUGAUUUUUUUUUUUAUUAUUACUAUGUAACAUACUAUUGGGCUAGAGGCCCUGUAACAUUAAUUAUAUUUCCCUUUUCGCCUUAAAUUUGCCGAUUUACUCAAAUCUUAUUUAAUGCGUUUAUCUAGGGAAUAUAAUUAGUAAUUAACUCGAUUACAUUUUCCACGAAAGUAGUAAUUUUAGAUUUGGAAAAUCGUCAAUUAACCCUCUUAUAUGUGAUUGAGUAUAUUUCGAAUAUAAAGCAGAUGUAAAUCAUUAUUGAAUUUAAUCAACAAUAAUUCUAUCAAAAUGUUUGAGGAAGGUAAAUUCUCAGAGAAUCCCUUCGACUCUAUUAAAAAGAUAAACGAUGAUCUUCCGGAAACGUCAGACAUCGAUCUUGUAAAACGAAAGCCAACGGCGAACCAGAAGAGUCACGCCCAUUGGGGUGGGGAACCAGUAUUCAGGUUCCAAAUGUGUUAUUUAACUCUUUUUAUUAUUGCUAAACGAAGCGUUUCAUUUUCUUCAGCUUAUCAUACGGCACGACGAGCUCGAAAAUGAGAAAAAAAUAGAUUAGGCAAAGGAUCAUGGAACUAGAGAAGCGUCGCCUCGAUAUUGCUCGAGAGCUUCAUCGCCUCGAAGCCCAUCCUUCUGAUUGGAGUACGGAAACAUGCCAGGUUGUGUUAUGAGCAUCGUUGACCUCGCAGGUCAAGGAGUAAAGUUAUUCCGUAACUCAAGACCCUUUUAGAUUUGGUUCUAGCUUAUCUAGAAAUAUUUAUUUAUACAUCGUUCGCAAUGUAUUUUUAUAUUUAUGCUCGAAUAUUAAAUUUAUAAAAACAAGACUCCAUGAUUGGAAUAAUAUUUUUAUUUUUAUGUUAUAGCUGGACUCGUGUUUAGCGAGCUGCCUACGUAGCCAAAAUAGGAUCAAGCCAAAUCGUAGUUCGAUUGUGUUUGCUUUAGUAAUAGAACUUUUUCAAGUUGAUGAUGUUCCAAGGCCUUUGAACGGGGUUUCCAUCAAGGUCUUGUAAACGGUAAACACCAUUUCGGAUUUUUUCUGUGAUUUGAUAAGGACCUUCCCAGUUAAUACCGAGUUUUCCAGCUCCUUCUUCUUUUGUGUUAUCGAACACUCGUCUUAAAACAAAGUUUCCUACAUUUAAAGGUCUGUUUUUCAACUUUGAGUUAUAGUACCGAGCGGUCAAUUGCUGAUAUUUUUGAAGUCGAAUAAGGGAUUGAUCUCGCUUUUCAUCGAUUGUAUCAAGAACGUCUUCUAAUAAUUUAGAAUUUAGUUCUUCGUUAAGAGGAGCUUCGCUCCGGCGUAAACCAGGAACAUUCAGUUCGGCUGGGACUACAGCUUCCAUCCCAUAUACUAAUGAGAAUGGAAUUUCUCCCGUUGCUCGUCUCGGGGUUGUUCGAUAUGCCCACAACACAGGUUGCAGCUCGUCAUACCAACCACCUUUCCGAGCAUUCAAACGCUUUUUAAGAUUGCUGGGAAUGGUUUUAUUGGAAGCUUCCGCUUGCCCAUUUCCUUGAGGAUACCUUGGCGUUGAAUAGCUAAGUUUUAUUCCCCAAGCAGAACAAAAAUCUUCAAAUUCAUUUGAAAUGAAUUGAGGACCGUUGUCCGUUACUAUUUCGUAAGGAACUCCAUGGCGACAAAUAAUGUGUUUCCACAAGAAUGUUUUUACCACAGAAUCUUGUAUAUUUACGUAGGCUUCUGCUUCGAUCCAUUUGGAAAAAUAGUCCGUUAGAACUAAUAAGUAUUGGACGCCUCGCGUUGAGCGAUGCAUCGGACCAACUAUAUCCAUUGACCACCUCAUGAAAGGGUAUGGAGCGGAUAUGGAUGAUAAAAUUUCAGAUGGCUGGUGAAUAAGAGGAGCGUGCAUCUGACACUUUUUACACCGUUUGGCGUACUCGAUGCAAUCAGAAAUCAUAGUUGGCCAGAAAUAUCCUAACCGUUUGAUUUUGAAAGCCAUUGCUCGUCCCGAAGAAUGACUACCACAAAGCCCUUUGUGGGCCUCGCUUGUUACUAUUUCCACCUCGGGUCCGAAAAUACAUAAAAGAUAAGGAUCACUGACGCCUCGCUUGUACAACGACUCUUUAAUUAUACAAUACUUAGCGCUGAUAAUUUCUAAUUUGCGAGCUUGCCAUUUGUUCGAUGGUAGUUCUCCACUAAGAAUGAAAAUUUUGAUGGGUACCCUCCAGUCAGCCCCCCAAUCAUUAGCGGAAGUAUUAUCCUUGAGUAUAAACUUCCUUGGUUCGGGUUCGGAAGGAAUAUCAGGAUCUUCGAUUGUUUCCCGAACUUCUUCAUCACCAGGAGGUGUCUGUUCAGUUCGAGACAGUUCUUUAGCGGGAACCUCUUGAUCCUUCAACAUUCUUCUUGGCUUUCUUUUAGGAAGUUCCAGUGGUGAAGUAAGUUCAUCAUCCUGAGAUUUUACUCGUGAUCUGGUGACGACAAACGAACUAUUUUCAUUUCCGAAACUUAAUUUUGGAGUUUCUAUAUGCUCGGCCUCCAAAAUGUUAUCGUUUUCUGUUUCUUCAACCGAAAUACUUCGUGAAGAAAGACAUUCAACAGGGAUAACUCGUUUGAGCUCAGGAUCCGAGGUAGAGGCUAGGGCAGCUAAAGCAUCUGCCGAAGUAUUUUCUCCUUGAGGUAUUCGAACUAAUUCGAACUCUUUGAAUUUUCCGGCUAAUUUUUGACAGCCGAAAGAUAGGCUUCCAUUCUAGGAGCCUUAGCUUCGUAUUCUCCAGCGAACUGGUUUACAACUAGCUGAGAAUCACAAUAAGUUAUUAUUUUUUCUGCUCCAAUUGCAAGAGCAAGCUGAAGUCCUGCUAAGAGAGCUUCGUAUUCUGCUUCAUUGUUCGAAGCUGGAAACAUUAAUCGAAAUGAUUGUUCGAUUAUUUUCUUUGUCGGAGUUUCGAGCCUAAUACCGAUUCUGGACCCUUGUUUAGAAGAAGACCCAUCUACAUGUAAUUUCCAUGUAGAGUUUGUUUCAAUAAGGAUUUCGUCAUCCGGUGGCAGUUCGGUCAGAAAAUCAGCCAGAACUUGUGCCUUUGCGCUAGUUCGACUUUUGUAUUCUAUAUCGUACUCACUGAGUUCAUAUCGUACUCACUGAGUUCGAUUGCCCAUUUCGCUAAUCUACCGGACUGACUUGGUCCAUGAAGAAUUGAGCGAAGCGGAUGGGAAGUCAGAACUUCAAUCGGAUGAGAUUGGAAAUAAGGUCUGAGCUUUCUAGCAGAUAUGACUACUGCUAAAGCUAAUUUUUCUAUCAUGGUAUAUCUUGUUUCUGGACUGGUAAGAGAUUUACUUAAGUAGAAAAUCGGCUUCUGAUCACCUGGAUCCUCUCGAACUAAAACCCCACUUACAGAAUGAUUAGAAACCGAGAUGUAAAGAUAAAGUUUCUCAUCUGACUCAGGUUUUGAGAGAACCGGCGGUGUCAAAUAAGUUUUUAGUUGAUCGAAAGCUGCUUCGCAUUGAUCAUCCCACCGAAAUUUUUUGUUCCCUUGUAAAAUCUGAUAAAAAGAGAGACAUUUAUCGGUAGACUUCGAUAUGAAACGAUUCAACGCAGCAAUUCUGCCCGUCAAUCGCUGGACCUCUUUAAUGUUUUUUGGUGAAGGCAUUGUGAGGAAAGCGUUAAUCUGACUAGGAUUUGCUUCUAUUCCUCUUUCUGUAACUAUGUAACCUAGGAAUUCUCCAGAAGGUACACCAAAAGAACAUUUAGCUGGAUUUAAUUUCAUUCCGAAUUCAUUCAGAAUUUUGAAACAUUGCUCAAGAUGUGUGAUGUGCUCAGAUUUCUUAAGAGAUUUUACGAGCAUAUCAUCGAUAUAAACUUCCAUCGUUUUGCCCAAAUGUUUUGAAAAUAUUUUGUUAACUAGACGUUGGUAUGUUGCCCUGGCAUUUUUUAGACCGAAUGUCAUAACUUUAUAACAGUAGAUUCCUCUAUCUGUUAUGAAAGAUGUUUUCUCUUCAUCUUCGGGAUUCAUCAUGAUCUGAUUAUACCUAGAAAAUGAAUCCAUGAAUGUCAAUAGUUCGUUUCCGGCUGUUGAUUCUACGAGCCGAUCGAUAUGAGGGAGAGAAAAACUGUCUUUUGGACACGCUUUGUUAAUGUCAGUGAAAUCGACACAUAAGCUCCACUUUCCAUUUUUCUUUUUGACUACCACGGGGUUUGCUAACCAGUCCGAGUAUUUUACUUCUCUAAUCGAACCAAUUUUCAAAAGCUUAUCAACUUCGUCAUUGACCGCUUGAGCUCGGUCAGGAUCCAGUUUUCUUCUUUUUUGCUUUAUUGGUUUAAAACUGAGAUCGUCAUUUAAGUCAUGGGUAAUGAUACUUUUGUCGAUGCCAGGCAUAUUGGUAGUAAGAUUUUAACUAAGAUCAAUUAUCCUUAAAUCACUAUCAUGUCAUUGCAGUAUUUAAGGUGUCAAUCCAAAUGGGUGUGAUGCUAGCAAUCAAGAUGUAAUCAGAUAUCACAGAGUCAAGCCAAGCAAUAACAGGUUUUGAUGUUGUCAACAGCUCUAGUGUUCAUUCAGAUAACAGAAAUUCUAACAAUAACAGGCAAUAUACUCGACCAACACAGCUUGAUGCGAAGCACUGGGUGUGGUCGAGUAUCAGGUCGAGUAACUUAACAGAAACUGUAAACUGGGUACUCGACUACACAGUUUGUUACCAAACUACUGGGUGUGGUCGAGUACUUCAAAUGAAACAGGCUAGAAAUGAUAAAACUAAGCAACAAGUGACAAGAUCAAGCACUCAAAAGCGAUGUAAGCAAAAAAAUCAAUUGGAAGAGAAAUUCCCGAGGAUGGGGUGAUUGAGUAGUGAAGUCUCCUUAAUCUAACAGGUGGUUAACAUGCUCAACAAACUAUCCCUAGACAACAAGUUCAAUAGCCAAAUCAAAGUGCUACCGCAACAGAGAUCCUCAAGCAAAGCUAGUCCCAGACUCAAUCACCAUUGACAAGAGCUAACCUAACAGGCAUUACGAAACAUCAAGUCUAAGCCAAAACGCUCCCUGUAACCAAUACCUUGGUACAGAGCCACGAAUCUCUGGAAUUAGUGGUUCAGACAUUUCAUCGAACACCUUUUGGGUGCGGAAAUGUCUGGGCUCAGAUUCCAGUUGAUCAGAAAGCAAUCAGCAUUAAGAACAACUAAUCCAGAAGGGAUCUACCAAUCAAAUUCAACCACCUAGCAGAUCAAGGAUUCUAAACUACUCUAACCCAUCCUCAAGAACCCUAAUCACUACUCAAAAUUCAUAACCAAGAACACAAACCCAGAAAUACAUAAAAACUUCAUAUUAGCAAGAUCUCAACAAGAUGACCAACUUUGUAGAAGAAAUUAAAAGCAAAUACUCAACAGAUUAAGAGAAAUCUGGAUUACAAAUAUGAAGAAAGCACUAAUUGUUCUCCAAAAUAAAACUUAGACAGAAUAAAACUUAGUCUGAAAAUUAUGAGAAACAACCUAUUUAUAGCAAAUACUAGGAAACCCUAAAUCACAAGACGACAAAGUAUUAAGGCGGUUUACGGAGACAUUCGGCUUCGUGCAAUCGAGUGAAGAGGUCGAGCAAAGCUGGCUCCUUUGCGGUUUCUUGAUCUGGUCGUGAUGCGAUCGAGUGACUAGGUCGAGUAUGCACUCGAGUCCCGCUUCAUCUUCUUCUCUUCCUUAUGCUCAGUGUCUGGUUGAGUUGGGAUCUGAGAAGCCUCUGAAGCGUGCAGUCGAGUGCUUGGUCGAGUAAGUUGGUGGAGGAUACUCGACUACGUGCUCGAGUCGUGAUCUGGAGUCGUGGUCUACUUGGUGAAGGAGAGGGUACUCGACUUGGUGAUCGACUUGGUGCUCGAGUUGGUGAUCGACUUGGUGCUCGACUUGGUGCUCGACUUGGUCGUGGUCGAGUGCAUUUGGAAGGUCAUGAUGAUGGUGCUCGACCUCGUGGUCGAGCAUACUGAUGGGUUCUGGUCCACUUCUUCCAAUUUGCUCACCAACAGCUCCAAAUCACCUGAAAACAACUCAAAUAUGCAACAUGCAUGCAAAACUAUCCUAAUCAUGCAAAGUGAUGACAAAUGAUGAAGAAUGGUAUGAAACAAUGACGAAAUGAUGAUAAAGUGAUGCUAAAUGGAUGCUCAAAACAAGUAAAAUAUAGACAUAUCAACUCCCCCAAACUUAGUCUUUGCUUGCCCUCAAGCAAACAAUUAAGAACAAGCUGGAGGAGAGGUUUGAAAGCGGGGACUCAGAACCAAAGCAUGCAAACAAAGCAAAUGAACUCAAUGUCCAAGUUAGUAAUUGUGGAAUGCUUAGAGACCAAACUCUACUUAAAAACUUUAGCCAUAUUCAUCACAAGACAACCUAACAUUUGUUCCAAUCUACACACACCUUCAGAUCAUCAAUUCCCUUUAACAUUGAUUAAGCUCAAACCAUGAAUCAAGCAAAACAUUGUUGAAGAACUCAUUUGGUUUAAAGGACAAGGCUGAGAAACAAAGAUGGUUCCUCUGUAAAUGGUUUCGGACUUUUUCACAGUAACAGGGAACUCUCAUGAAUGGACAGAGCUUUAGUAGAAUACUAAAGGUUAGAACCAACCUACGCAUACAAGAACAGACCCCAUCUACCCAAAUAACCAUAAGUAUAUCAAACUCCAUAGAUGGUCCUAUCUCUAAACCCCAGAAAUGAUCCUAAUUCUACCCUUUUGCACUCAAGGCAUGUUUCAAUAAUCUCUUGGAUCAACCCAUUCUUUGUUUUUGGUUUUUGUUCUAAGGAGAGGUUUUCUUUUAGACUUUCUAGCGGAUUGAGACUUUCUUUAACAACUAAGGCUCUUCUUCUCAUCUCAUGACUUAAGACAACUCUAGGCUUUUGCCUUUCUUUUUACUUUGCACAGAGCCUAACUUCUUUUAUUUUCAAGCUUCCCAAUUCCUUUACUAGACUAACAUGAUAUUCUUUUCUGUUUCACUUCCAUCUCCUAAGAAUAAUAACACUUGUCUUUCUUUCUCAUUUUUAUUCCAAACACAUUCCCAAACCCAAAGUAAAACUCCCACCUAGUCCUAUCUAGCCCAAAAAGCGUGGACUAGAACUACAUGGGAUACCAUUCUUGUCGGUUCAUACCUAACACUUUCUACCAAGCUCAAUCCGGAAAUAGGCCUCACACACACACAAAUUUAUUCAGGGCUUGAAAGAAAAGUUAGGUUCAGGAUGGGGGAAACUGUUCCAAUGAUGGGAAUCAGCUACUUGGAUUAGCAAGAGUGGUAGAAGGUGAAAGAAAAUCCAAGUAUGUGUAUUGGUAGCCACAAGUUCAACAACAACGCAAAGACAUGAUAAUUAUAAGUCAAGUUCAGGUUCUAAUAGAUAGGGAAAAGAAUCACAUCAAGCAUGCUUCAAUUAAAACAAGAGAGUCAAGUUGUGAAUUCCAAAUAUGGUGCAGUCUUAAUUCAAGUUCUAUCACAAGCAUUAAACAACUAAUAACGAGGGCAUUGAAUUCAUUCAGUAAAUGAGCAUGCUUACAAGGUUAUCUCAUCAUCAUCCCCUAUGCAAAUGCAACAAUCCUAUAUGAAACCUUCUAGACUCAAUCUUAAAAUGAAAAUGCAACUACAUGAACACUCUAUUUUUGUGAAAUCAUUUUCAGAAAUUUUUCAAAUUUUUAGGGUUUUUUUUUUCAAUGACAUAAAUGAAUGCAGACAAUAUGCACAAUGCAAGAAAAAUUUGAAAACAAGAACAAAGCAAACACAUCAGAUACUUCCUGAGCCCUCCCCCAAACUUAAAUUACACAGUCCUCUGUGUGACCAAAUUUGGAAGAGAGUACCCAGGACAAACAAAUAAAGAAAGAAAACAUGAGAUGGUAUAAACAAUGGGGAAGUGGAGUUGUUACCUCAACUGAAGAAGGAGUUGAUGUUCUCAUCAAUGCUUGCUUGUGUGUACAGCUAGGCCAUUGAUGAGUCUUAUUGUUGGGCUUCUGCUCCUUCUCCUUCUUGAGACUCGACCAUGUCAUCUCAUUACCAUAUGGCUUCUGUUGGUCGAGUAUGAUCUUGAUUUUGAAAAAUUUGGAUCAAAAAUCACAUCAUACUCGACUGCAACUCUUCAUCAGCAUGUGGCCUCGCGUGAUAGAGUGACAUGUUGAAACUUCAAAAAUCUUGAAACUGAGACCCAUUUCAUACUCGAUCGCACAGCUACACUUGCUCUUUGCAGGAUGUGGUCGAGUGUUCUGUUGCACACUGAGCCAGAAUCCACUUCACUCAGCUGUUGAUACUUACUCCUGAAAGCACUACCAAAAUGCAUUAAAAAUAACAAGGAAAGUAAAAAUAUAUACAUGGAUAGACAUGGGACUUCCUCCCAAGUGAGCUUGUUUUAAGUCAUUAGCUUGACUUCCUUACUCCCUUAAGCAUCAAGAGGUUCCUGGAGAUGAACUGAGGUCACCUCUGGAAGGAUUUGAUCUGCUAAGUAUUUCUUGAGUCUUUGGCCAUUCACUGUGAAAUCUCCACUCUUACCAGCUAGAGUGACUGCUCCAUAAGGGCGAACUUCAGUAACACAGAAGGGACCAGACCAUCUAGACUUGAGCUUUCCUGGAAAGAGUUUCAGGCGAGAAUUGAAUAGCAGCACCUGAUCACCAACUUGGAAGUCCUUGGUGAUGAUCUUCUUAUCAUGGAAAAGCUUAGUCCUUUCUUUGUAGAUUUUAGAGCUCUCAUAAGCUUCUAAGCGAAUCUCAUUGAGAUCAUUUAGUUGGAUCAACCGCUUCUCCUCAGCGGUUUUGAUGUCAAAGUUCAGGAUAGAGAAGGUUGAAGGGAGUUGUACCAAUAGGGGUUUUGAAUGCUGUCCUGUAAGCCCAUAGUGCAUCAUCUAGCUUUGCAGAAUAGGGGUUUUGAAUGCUGUCCUGUAAGCCCAUAGUGCAUCAUCUAGCUUUGCAGACCAGUCUUUCCUUGUAGUCCCCACAGUAAGGAGUGGCUACCUUAUGCUUCACUCCGUGUUUCUUCAAUAAGUUCUCAAAGACUUUGUUGAUGAAGUGUGUACCUCCAUCACUGAUGACGACCCUUGGUAUACCAAAUCUAGGGAAAAUUAUGGUUUUAAACAUCUUCAGAACCACCCUUGAGUCAUUUGUCGGACUUGCAAUGGCCUCAACCCACUUGGACACGUAGUCUACUGCUACCAAGAUGUAUUUGUUCCCAUAGGAAGAAGGGAACGGCCCCAUAAAGUCGAUUCCCCAGACGUCAAAGAUUUCUACCUCUAGUAUAGGAUUUUGUGGCAUUUCAUUUCUUCUGCUGAUGUUUCCCUUCCUUUGGCAUGAGUCACAUCUUGAUAUGAACUGCUGGGCGUCUUUGAACAUGGUUGGCCACCAGAAGCCUGCUUGCAGUACCUUAGAUACUGUCUUAAAAGUCGCAAAGUGACCACCAUAUGUUGAACCAUGACAGUGAAGCAAGAUGUCUUCCACUUCCUCCUCUGAGAUACAUCUUCUGUAAAUUUUGUCUUUACAGAGAGUGUAAAGAUAUGGCUCAUCCCAGUAGUAGUGGUUGAUAUCUCUGAAAAACUUCUUCUUUUCAUAACUGGUCAGGUUGGGAGGCUCUACUCCGCAGGCCAAGUAAUUGACAUGAUCAGCAUACCAUGGAGAUUUUCCUUCAACAGCAUUCAGUUGGUGAAACUCAUUCCCACUGUAAUUCUUUCCAAAGAAUUCUGUAACCAUGAGUUGCUCCUCUGGCAUCGAAUCAUCAAUAGGGACUUCAUCAUCGAUCCUCAUCCUUGAUAAGUGAUCAGCUACACCGUUCUCUAUACCCUUCUUGUCUACUAUUUCCAUGUCAAACUCUUGCAGAAGUAGUAUCCAUCUCAAUAGUCUUGGCUUGGUGUCCUUCUUUGCAUAAAUGUGUCUCAAGGCUGCAUGAUCUGUGUAGACUAUGACUUUAGAACCCACCAAGUAGCUUCUGAACUUUUCAAACGCAAAAACAACUGCCAAUAACUCCUUCUCUGUCGUGGCAUACUUCACCUGAGCAUCAUCCAUUGUUCUACUUGCGUAAUAGAUGACAUGGAGCUUCUUGUCAAUCUUUUGUCCCAAGACUGCUCCUACAGCGUAAUCUGAAGCGUCACACAUGAUUUCGAAUGGAUAGUCCCAGUUUGGAGCUUGGACUAUUGGAGCUGAAAUCAGAGCUUCCUUGAUGAGUUGAAAAGCUUUCAGGCAUUCCUCAUCAAAAUCAAACUCUGUUUUCUUACACAGCAGCCUUGUCAUUGGUCUUGCCAGCUUGGAGAAAUCCUUGAUAAACCUUCUAUAAAACCCAGCAUGUCCCAGAAAACUUCUCACAUCUUUGACACUCCUUGGUGGUUGCAGUUGCACCAUAACCUCAAUCUUUGCUCUGUCAACCUCUAUACCCUUCUCUGAAAUAUUGUGCCCCAAUACAAUGCCUUCUUUGACCAUGAAAUGGCAUUUUUCCCAGUUGAGUACCAAGUUCGUCUCUUCACACCUAGAAAGUACCCUGCACAAGUUUGACAAACAAGAGGAGAAGGAGGAGCCAUACACGGAAAAGUCAUCCAUGAAUACCUCAACCAUCUCCUCAAUUAAAUCCGAGAAGAUAGAAGUCAUGCACCGCUGAAAUGUAGCUGGUGCAUUACAGAGACCAAAAGGCAUUCUUUUAUAUGCAAAGGUUCCAUAUGGACAUGUGAAUGUAGUUUUCUCUUGAUCAUUAGGGUGAAUUGGUAUUGAAAGAAACCACUAUAACCAUCAAGAAAGCAGUAGUAUGGGUGAUUAGCUAACCUUUCUAGCAUUUGAUCAAUGAAUGGAAGUGGAAAAUGAUCUUUCCUAGAUGCAGAAUUCAACUUCCUAUAGUCAAUGCACAUUCUAUGUCCAGUUAUAGUUCUAGUGGGUAUGAGCUCAUCUUUAUCAUUUUUUACUACAGUCAUACCUCCUUUCUUUGGAACACAAUGAACUGGAGAUACCCAAGUGCUAUCGGAAAUAGGGUAAAUUACACCUGCUUCCAAUAGUUUAAGUAUCUCCUUCUUUAUAACUUCUUUUAAAUUAGGAUUCAACCUUCUUUGGGGUUCAAUGCUCGAAUAAGAUUCAUUUUCAAGAUGAAUGCGAUGUGUGCAUAAACUAGGUGAAAUGCCCUUUAUAUCAUCAAGUGAAUAACCAAUGGCUCUUCUAUACUUUUUCAGUUCAGUUAACAGAAGAUGCACUUGUUCAUCAGUUAAUGCAUCAUUCACAAUGACAGGAUAUGUAGAGUUGUUACCUAGAAAUGCAUACCUGAGUCCUUUGGGAAGCGGCUUAAGUUCAACUUUUGGUGCCUUGAGUUCAGACCAGUCGUCUGAUGUUGGAAUGAUCAGCUCCGCAGGGAUGUCAACUGUAGUGGUCGAGUGUUCAGUCGAGUAAGUCCUCGAGUGGGUAGGUUGAGCCUGAGUUGAGUCCUCGUCAUUCACUGCCAUUACCUCUGUUGCUGACCCAUUCAAUUCCUCAAAGGAUUCUGACUCUUCUACUGCUUUGUGUGAGUCCAACAGCUUCUGGUAACCCAAAGUUUCUAAAUGCAGAAACCCUUCUUCACCAUUCUUGGUCAAAGCACUCUUAAGGUGAUCUUCUUCUGCUAGUUCCUCUAGUAACUCAUUAGCUAACUGAUCCAUUUCUUAAAUCCAAAAGAGUUGCCCUUCUAUAGUUGGCUUCUUCAUUGCAUCCUUUAUAUCAAAGGUCAUUUUAAGGUCUUUACCAAGGUUCAGAUCGAUCUUCCCCUUCUUGACAUCAAUGAUAGCUCCAGCAGUCGCCAAGAAAGGUCUUCCCAGAAUCAGAGGGUCCUUUGGUUCUUCAUCCAUUUCAAGCACUACAAAAUCAGUAGGUAUCUCUACGACUCCGAUCUUGAUUGGUAAGUCUUCACGCAGGCCAUGAAGUAUUCUGAUGGAUCUGUCUGCUAGAAUCAGAGAGAUAUUGCAAGCUUUGUAUUUGCUGAAACCAAGUCUUUUCGCAACUGAGAGAGGCAUGAGGCUCACUGAUGCGCCUAGAUCGCAGAGGCAUCUGUUGAAUGAUAAAGGACCUAAUGAACACGGUAGAGUGAAUGAGCCAGGAUCACCAAGCUUCUUUGGAAUGAUCUUCUUCUGUAUAAUAGCACUGCAUUCAUGACUCAAUACUACCAUUCCUUGCACUUCUUGAAUUCUUUCCAUGAUCAGGUCUUUCAGAAACUUGUGGAAAUCCGGAAUAAGCGCGAGAGCAUCAACAAGAGGUAUCCUCAAUUCAACUUCUCUGAUGUUCUUGGCAAACAUAGCUCUGUACUUAUCUGCCAACACUUUCUUGUGACGACCAGGAAAUGGAAGUGGGGGUUUGUAAGGAGGAGGAACAAAAACCUUCUCCUUGUUCUUAGCAGCAACUGGUUUUAGAACAGCAGGUGAUGUUACUGGAAUUGGUGAUCGAGUAACAUGGUCGAGUGGAGGGUCGAGUACUUCUGUUGGCUUGUCAGCUUGAUCUUCAUUGAGAUUGAAAUCCUCCCCAGCUUGGUCUGCACUGUCCUCAGUGGCUGGCUUAGGUCCCUCUCUGGUUGGAAGUUCUUUACCACUGCGCAAGGUGAUAGCAUGAGCUUGAGCAUAGUCUUUUGGAUUCUGAAUUGCUUUGCCUGGAAGUUGACCUAUAGGUUUUGGAGCAGAAGUGGAUGCAGAUUGUCCUUCCAAGUAUCGGACUUUGGAAUUCAGUGCCUCCACUUUGACAUUUAAGUCAUUGUAGCUACAGUCCAGCUUAUUGUGUAAUUCAGAUAUCUUCUUAGCAAUCUCCAUGGAGCCAGAUGCUUGUCCUUGGAGAAGCUGUUGUAGUAUUUGCUUCAUGUCAGAAUCAGGAGCAGCAGGACCUUGGUGUUGCUGAGGUGCAAACCCAGGUGGUGGUUGCUGCUGGUAGUUCCCCUAAAAUUGUUGCUUGGGAGCAAAACCUUGGUUGUAGGGAACAAAAGGUUUAUUCUGACCCUGCUGUUGUUGUGGAGGAUACACUUGAUCCUGUGGAUUAGCAACGUUGGUGCUGCGGUAAGAAAGGUUGGGGUUGUUAGUCUUGAAGUUGUUAUACCCUUUGUAGCCGCCUUGAUUGUUGAUGUAGCUGACCUCUUCUAACUGGUUCCCCUCCCCAUCUUGGACUUGAUACUGCUCGUCAUCAAGUAGAAAGUGCACAUUCUUCUGCUGGCCAAGGAUAAGCCUAUCCAGUUUCUCAUUAAGAGCUUUCAUCUCUUUACUAUGCUUUGCAUCCGAUUCUCCAAUACCUCUGUUGGAGCGAUCAAAAUCCUCGUUAUAAUUACCAUCGGAUUGAGCUAAGUUCUCAAUUAAUUCCCAGCCUUCUUCAACAUCCUUAUUCAAGAAAUUCCCAUUAGAAGCAGUGUCCAGCAACAUUCUGAUCUUGGGCAAAACUCCCCUGUAGAGUGUGCUUAGUAGAUAAGCCUUCUUGAAACCAUGGUGUGGACAUUGUAUAGUGUAGCCUUUGAAUCUCUCCCAGGCUUCACAAAUGGAUUCAGACUGCUUUUGGGUAAAACUGGAGAUUUCAUUCCUAAGCCUUGCAGUUCUUGAAUUUGAGAAGAACUUUGUUAAGAAGGCCUUCUUGCAAUCGUCCCAAGAUGUGAUGGAGCCAGCAGGUAACGUCUUUUCUCAUUGGUGUGCUUUGUCUCCCAGUGAGAAGGGAAACAGGCGCAGCUUGAAACUAUCCUCACUAACACCGUUUAUCUUGGUUAGGCUGCAGAGCCUGUCGAAGUUAUCCAAGUGGUCUAAGGGAUCUUCCAGAGGCAGACCAUGGAACUUGUUUCCUUGAAUCAUCGAGAUGAGACCACUUUUAAUCUCGAAGUUGUUGUUUUGGACAGCAGGAGGCACAAUUCCUUGCCUCUGAUGGUGGUUUCUUGGUGCAUCUCCAGCACCAAUGUUUGCAGGCAGAUUGUUGACAUCUUGUUCAUCAGCCAUUCUGAAAGGAUGGUUGUGUUCAAGGUCUGUAGUGUCUCUCCUUUCCCUUAGUUCUCUGUCAAUACGGUCAAUGUUAUCGUUGAAAAGGAGGUUCUGGUUGCCUUUUGAUCGAGUUUGCAUACAGCAGGGUUGUACCUGGAUCAAGAAGACAACAAGAAAAACAAAAAGUUAGUAACCUAAGUGAAAAUUGAAAUAGAACUUGAUCUAAGCAAGUCUGAAAUCUCAAAUGUAACAAACAAACACCCAAAUGGCAACGGCGCCAAAUUGGUAGUAAGAUUUUAACUAAGAUCAAUUAUCCUUAAAUCACUAUCAUGUCAUUGCAGUAUUUAAGGUGUCAAACCAAAUGGGUGUGAUGCUAGCAAUCAAGAUGCAAUCAGAUAUCACAGAGUCAAGCCAAGCAAUAACAGGUUUUGAUGUUGUCAACAGCUCUAGUGUUCAUUCAGAUAACAGAAAUUCUAACAAUAACAGGCAAUAUACUCGACCAACACAGCUUGAUGCCAAGCACUGGGUGUGGUCGAGUAUCAGGUCGAGUAACUUAACAGAAACUGUAAACUGGGUAUUCGACUGAACAGUUUGUUACCAAACUACUGGGUGUGGUCGAGUACUUCAAAUGAAACAUGCUAGAAAUGAUAAAACUAAGCAACAAGUGACAAGAUCAAGCAAUCAAAAGCGAUGUAAACAAAGAAAUCAAUUGGAAGAGAAAUUCCCGAGGAUGGGGUGAUCGAGUAGUGAAGUCUCCUUAAUCUAACAGGUGGUUAACAUGCUCAACAAACUAUCCCUAGACAACAAGUUCAAUAGCCAAAUUAAAGUGCUACCGCAACAGAGAUCCUCAAGCAAAGCUAGUCCCAGACUCAAUCACCAUUGACGAGAGCUAACCUAACAGGCAUUACGAAACAACAAGUCUAUGCCAAAACGCUCCCUGUAACCAAUACCUUGGUACAGAGCCACGAAUCUCUGGAAUUAGUGGUUCAGACAUUUCAUCGAACACCUUUUGGGUGCGGAAAUGUCUGGGCUCAAAUUCCAGUUGAUCAGAAAGCAAUCAGCAUUAAGAACAACUAAUCCAGAAGGGAUCUACCAAUCAAAUUCAACCACCUAGCAGAUCAAGGAUUCUAAACUACUCUAACUCAUCCUCAAGAACCCUAAUCACUACUCAAAAUUCAUAACCAAGAACACAAACCCAGAAAUACAUAAAAACUUCAUAUUAGCAAGAUCUCAACAAGAUGACCAACUUGGUAGAAGAAAUCAAAAGCAAAUACUCAAUAGAUUAAGAGAAAUCUGGAUUACAAAUAUGAAGAAAGCACUAAUUGUUCUCCAAAAUAAAACUUAGACAGAAUAAAACUUAGUCUGAAAAUUAUGAGAAACAACCUAUUUAUAGCAAAUACUAGGAAACCCUAAAUCACAAGACGACAAAGUAUUAAGGCGGUUUACGGAGACAUUCGGCUUCGUGCAAUCGAGUGAAGAGGUCGAGCAAAGCUGGCUCCUUUGCGGUUUCUUGAUCUGGUCGUGAUGCGAUCCAGUGACUAGGUCGAGUAUGCACUCGAGUCCCGCUUCAUCUUCUUCUCUUCCUUAUGCUCAGUGUCUGGUUGAGUUGGGAUCUGAGAAGCCUCUGAAGCGUGCAGUCGAGUGCUUGGUCGAGUAAGUUGGUGGAGGAUACUCGACUACGUGCUCGAGUCGUGAUCUGGAGUCGUGGUCUACUUGGUGAAGGAGAGGGUACUCGACUUGGUGAUCGACUUGGUGCUCGAGUUGGUGAUCGACUUGGUGCUCGACUUGGUGCUCGACUUGGUGCUCGACUUGGUCGUGGUCGAGUGCAUUUGGAAGGUCAUGAUGAUGGUGCUCGACCUCGUGGUCGAGCAUACUGAUGGGUUCUGGUCCACUUCUUCCAAUUUGCUCACCAACAGCUCCAAAUCACCUGAAAACAACUCAAAUAUGCAACAUGCAUGCAAAACUAUCCUAAUCAUGCAAAGUGAUGACAAAUGAUGAAGAAUGGUAUGAAACAAUGACGAAAUGAUGAUAAAGUGAUGCUAAAUGGAUGCUCAAAACAAGUAAAAUAUAGACAUAUCACAUAUCCUUGGCCAACCAGGCAAAAGUAUGUUUAUUUUCUUUUAGAAAUGUUAGCAAUUGAUCUUUGAUUUCUGAAUCUAAAGUAGUACCGAUUUUUACUUUUCGAUCUGGAAAUUCGGAAUCAAUUUCAAUUUCUGUGGUAACCUCAUUCGAACAGAGACCACUUGGGUAACGCGAAGUGCUUUCUUGCUUAGCAUUUAUAAUUAAUUGUUUGAGCUUUAAACGAUGUCCCAUGAGGUAGCAAGAUCACGACGUUUCCUGAUCUCCUCGAAUGGUUCCAAUUCCACUAGGAGUCGGAAAUUUCACACAUUGGUGAUAAGUCGAAGGUAUAGCCUUCAUUUGGUAUAUCCACGGAGUUCCGAGAAUUAUGUUAUAAGCGGCCGGACGGUCGAAAACAAUAAAUUCUACAAUUUUUGGAACCCCUGCGGCAAGCACUGGUAGUUUUAUGUGUCCUAAGGACAUAGAUGUGUGACUUGUGAAAGCUACUAAUGGUGCCGGUGGACCGAUAAUGUCAGCUUUACUGAUUCCCAUUCUUUGCAAAGUGCUUAGAAAUAUGAGAUCUACCGAGCUCCCAGUAUCAAUUAGACACCGUGUCACUUCGAAGUUCGCAACAUCUAAAGUUAUCACAAGAGCAUCAUCAUGAGGCCCAUCUAAUCCUUGAGUGUCCGAAUCAUCAAAGGAGAUAGAAGGUAGUUGUUCAUUUGAUUGAAAACCCAUAGCGGUUUGAAUUGCUGCUGAUUUCUUGUGCCUUUUGAUCGAUCUGAUCGAAUCUCAGCAUAAUUUGGAUCCUCCCAUUAUAAUAUCGAUCCUUUUCUUAGGAGUGUUCGGAGUUCCAGGCCCAUUAGGCUUAUGUUUCUUUUCAGGAGGAUUCGAAGCUUCGGAAUCUUCUUUUUCUUUAUGGUAAGAUUCCACAAAUUCCUCGAUAUUGAAAUUAGCGAGCUCUCCAGCUGCCCACAGUUCGGUGAGGUGCUUUUUGAGUACGCUGCAAUAUUUGGUGGAGUGCCCGUUUACCUUGUGAAUAUCACAAUAGGCACUUUCGUCUCUAACCCAAGUAUUAGGAGGAUUGUAUCUUCCUUUGCUUGGGGAGGGUUUUCCUACAGCAUUGAUAGAAGGAUUAACUCCGAACCGUUUUUGAUCUUUUGGUUCGAACUUUUUAGUUGGAUUCGCAACGACUAAUUUAACUGGUCGAUGCUUUUUAGCGAGGCUAAGCUUUUCUUCUGCCUCCAUCCAAUUAGUAGCUCUGAAUAAAGCAUCUUGGAUGGUACUUGGACGGUUGACGAUAAUUUCUUCUCGAAAUCGAGAUUCAUGCCAGAGUCCGUUCCUUAAAUCAGAAAGGGCAGCAGCGUGCGAUAACCCAUAAAUUUUGGCUAUCACUUCUUUGAACUUAGCGAUAUAUUUGCGAAGUGGUUCAUUCUGACUUUGGGUUAAAUUCCAGAGAUCCGCAUCAGAAGUUGUCUUUUCCAUAAACAUGGAAUAUUGUUUUAGGAAUACAGAGGACAAUUCCUUAAAACUAUCAAUAGUUUCUGUUUCUAACUGGGUGAACCAUAACAGAGCCGGUCCGGAAAGAUUUUCGGAAAAUAGUUUGCAAAAUCCGGCAUCUUCCUCGCCUGGUUCUAGAUCAAUUCUGCCUGCGGCGAUCUGAAAAGUAGCGAGGUGAUUUUUAGGAUCUCCUUUACCGUCAUAAGUUUGUAACUUAACCUUUCGAGAAUAUUUGAUCCGAAGGUUCGAGAUUCUCGAGGUAAAGGGCGUUCGACGAGUUUCUUCGAUUACUCGAUCGAUCUCAGGCGCCGAACUGGUCGCCUGAUGAAAUUUCGAUUUCAUUUCAUUAAGCUCUUAGCGAACUUUGAUGAAAUCGUCUGAUAAGGUGACAUCAGGAUCUUCUAUAAAAAAUCCGUCGUCAACAGGAAGAUUUCCCUGACCCUGGGGAAUUUCUUCCCCGGCUGGGUUAGUCGCAUCUCCUGCGGCUGUCGGAUUGCUAGUACUAGCAGGCUGGCCUGUUAGAGGAGUUCGAGUAAUCCCAGGUGUCGCGAAUAACCUGCGCUGAUGCGUUGAUGUUCGCGUUGAGGACAAAUUAUCUAAACGGCUUGAAACAACGUUCUGCGCGUUUGACAAAUUUGUAUGGGUGGUUUGAACACUCGUUAAGGUUUGCUCGAUUGAGUUUAACCUUUCACCAAAAGUGGUGUUGGCAGUAACAAGUGUACCCAUCUGAUUGGUCAGAUCGGUGGUUGUCUGAGUAAGCAAGGCAAUUGCAUCGCUCUAUGCUUGCUGAUCAGCCAUAAUUUCUUGGUUGGGAAAGAAAGAUUUUGAGAUUAAAGAGUUUUGUGGUAACUCCUCACAGGCGGCGCCGAAAUGUAGAUGUAGGAUUCACACUCGAUUAUCUUUAAGUAUUUUUGUGGAGAAAAACUCUUGUUAUAUCAGGAACUAAAUAUGAGAAUUUGAAAAGAAAAACAACCAAGAAAAGGAGUAAAAAUUUGAAGAAAGAUGAAGUGCAAAAUGCCUUGCGAAAAUAGUAAAGAGAGAAAGAUGUAUUGUAUUGUUUAGAAGUAAUCAGUAAUGAGAUUCGUCCUCCUCAAACACAUGCGUUUGAGGUUGUUUUUAUAGAGAAAACAUGAUCAAUGCGGUCAUUUACUGCUCAUAAUCGCGUUGAUCCGCAUUAAUCAUGUAAGUUACAUUUUGACCGAAACGGCUUGAAUUUGAACUAUCUUGGGCUUCGCGUCGAUCUUCCAAACUCUUUCUUGUUGACUCCAAACUCCCGCGUCUUGACGCUACCGCGAGCCUCGAAUAAUAUUCUCCUCGCUUCGGCCUUUCUUUAUGCGAACUGUAUGUUGAACAAGAGUGAACUCCGUACUGGUAAAGAUCGAACUCUUUUAGUAAACUGAAUCGAACUCCCGACUUGUCAAGCUCGAUUCUCAUAACAAAAUAUCUUUAAUUCCAAGAGGAUUAUUAUGUAAUAAUGACGUGGACAGAUCCAAGUGGAUCCUACCAAAAAUGUGUGGGAUCCGACCCCAACAGUAUGGAUUCGCGUGAACUCCUGCCUGCCACUAAUCAUCCGAGUUAAACUCAUACAGAACUCCAUCUGCGCCGUCCCACAUAGGCUCAUCAAUCUCACUAUCUCCAAAGAGAAAACCAGUCGCCAUUUGCUCUUUAGACUCUUCCGAAGAAUCACCAUCAGAAUCGUCGGAAAGUACAACAAAGUCAGUGAUCAGAACAUUCUUGAAACUUCCGCCCAAAGAAACCAAAGGCACGACUUCGUCAGACUCUGCACUAGUCUCGACAUCGUCAUCCUCAAACUCAUCAAGAUCUUCCCGCAGGUCAGUCUCGACGGAACUAUCCGAUCCUUCCAUCUCCCUCGUAGGAAUGGAUUCAAUCGAGGUCACUGAAGGACUCAUAGCCAUGGAAGAUUCCGAUUGAGACCCCUCCAACAUUCGCCUCACAUAAUCCGAUGGAAUCACAGAAUCGUCAGAACUACCAUCAUUAUUCCCGUACAGAUUGUUACUUGGUCCAGCACUCGACGAAAAUCUCCACGGUCGUCCACCUCGAAGCCUAGUAUGUCGCGACGAUAUCUACAUCACCAAAACAAGGUUAGUCCUAAGGUAGAAGUGCGACUCUUAUUUUUGAUUCGAUAAAAUAAACAUCACAACACAAAAUUUCUCUUUUGUACUUCCAUGUACAUUCACACAUCACAAUACUUUUUCGCAUCUCAUCACCAUAUUUUUCCUCUUCACAACACAACACAAUACAACACAACACAACACACAAAGUUAUCUAACGAUAAGACUUUGUUCAAUCCAUAAACUUAUCUUACAUUCAUAUCAUACAUUCUUUCUUACAACGGUGGGUUUGCACAUACCCAUUCAAACUAUCUUACAAUUGCGGAUUUAUAACCACUACACACUUGCUCCCAUACUUUUCGCCGAAGAGAUUACAAACCGGUAUAGUACAAUCCUAAAAUGCAUUGCUAGAAUGAAAUAUAACAGAGAAUCAUAUAAUGACUUAAAACCCUUACUUACCUCGUUGGAACCCAACGAUUUGAAGGUUUAGGGUAGUCCUAGUUAAUACUAAGGUUUUUCUUCUUCUUCGCGGACGUACUCGAGCUUGGGCUUGACGGACUAGGGUUCUCUGGACGCUUCCUUGGACGCACGGUUUCAUAAUGACCUUUAUCUCCAUACUCAUAACAGAUCACGUACGGGCGAGCAUAAGGAUGAUAGUGACAAGCAUAAGGACAAGCUCUCGGGUAAUGACCAUCUUGGCCGCAAGUGAACAAAACGGUGUCACACUAUAAGGUUCGGACCUACGUCCAUCCUCACGCUCCAUCUCAGUCACAACGGUUCCAUCCGGGGAUCUCCUUAUCCUCUCAUUCCAAAUGGGCAUACCUUCGGGUGGUCGGAUCGGCUCAGUACCAAGGGUACCCACAAAAAUCAUGUUCUCAAUCAUCGUAGCCAUGGAACUACAUCCCAAAGUCACCGGCUCACGAAUCGACUCAUCUAGGGGAAAUAACACUCCCGGCUCCUCAACAGGUGGCAAAGUAUUCGGUAAGGUCUCACACUCAAACGUCAGAUCCGGCACUUCUUCAUCCACUUCUUCGUCAACUCCUUCAUCCUCAGAACUCAUAUGGAACAUCUCACUAGUAGCUCUAUCAUACCCAUCAUACCAAGUUCUACUCGCAAAUCUCCUUGGCAAAAUAGACAUCCUCGACAUCUCGCUCUUUACACAGUUGGAAAAUGGUACCCCAUUACCCAACUCAUCCGCAUCAGAUAACUCACUAUCCGACGAGAUCUCAACAAAGUUCAGAGUUGGCGAACUAGAUAGCGUAGAAAAUUCGACAUCGAGCGACACCAUGUUGUAAGCCAGCGCUUGCCUAGGAAUCCCAUAUUCUGGUGGCAUAAACAUAACACAGUCAGAAUCGCGCGAGGCAUUACCUUCCGAAGGCGCAUCAGAAACACAAAAGUCUGUCCCCAAGGACAUUGAGCUGAACAAAUCCAACGUCAACAAGCUAUCCGGCGUUGGAGGAUAAAGGUACGGAUUCGCGUGAACUCCUGGCUACCACGAAUCGUCCGAGUUAAACUCAUACAGAACUCUAUCUGGGCCUUCCCACAUAGGCUCAUCAAUCUCACUAUCUCCAAAGAGAAAACCAGUCACCAUCUGCUCUUUAGACUCUUCCGAAGAAUCACCAUCAGAAUCAUCGGAAAGCGCAACAAAGUCAAUGAUCGGAACAUUCCCGAAAUUUUCUCCCAAAGCAACCAAAGGCACGACUUCGUCAGAAUUUGCACGAGUCUUGACAUCGUCAUCCUCAAACCAUCAAGAUCUUCCGACGGGUCAGUCUCGGCGGAACUGUCCGAUCCUUCCAUCUCCCUCGUAGGAAUGGAUUCAACCGAUGUCACUGAUGGACUUGUAGCCAUGAAAGACUCCAAUUCAGACCCCUCCAACAUUCGCCUCACAUGUUCCGACGGAAUCACAGAAUCGUCAGAACUACCGUCAUUAUUCCUGUACGGAUUGUUACUUGGUCCAGCACUCGACGAAAUUCCCCACGGUCGUCCACCCCGAAGCCUAGUAUGUCGCAACGACAUCUGCAUCACCAAAACAAGGUUAGUCCUAAAAUUCCCAUCUACUUAAAUCCCACGUUGGAACAACUUGGUUUAUCCUAAGGUAGAAGUACGACUCUUAUUUUUGAAUCGAUAAAACAUCUGAAAAGCGAGAUGGUUCCCGAGCAUCUGUAGCAAUGCUCUAAUAUGAUUAAAGGUUGGAUUGAACAAACGAUAAUGAUGAAACAUGAAUUGUUGAAGGAUUGGGAACGGUUAAAAACUUUGGUUUAGUAUCUGCAAUUUUUUUUACACAUUCAAUGGUGGAUGACGAAGUUGCGUGGAGGAACAAUUUUUAUAAUUGAUUAGGUGAGUACCCUUGCUACGCGAGGGUUUUUUCAACUUAAUGAUCCAAUGACAUGCUUUGUUAUGUAAAGUCUAUAUAAUAUGAAUUCAAAAUUAUUUUCAAUGCAUAUUUUAAUUUAAACAAUUGUUGAGAUUGUUUGUUUGUGCUAGGAGGAAAAUGUGGUUAAUCUUUUAAUAUAAGUACUUAAGUAGUGUGUUUCAAAUUCUUAGUGAGAUUUAAUAACAAAGCAUUUGACAUGGAAAAAAAAAAUCUAGCAUUUGCAGCAAUAAACCAAAUGCAGGAAACUCGACCUUGAACUUGGCCAUGAUAAUGAAUAAUUUCGGAGUUAUAAUAGUAGAUAAGUUAGAAACCGUUGUUUACAAGAAUGUGUGUUUAAAUCUAUAUAACCCUCUGUCAUGUGAUGUAGCAAGAUCAAGCUCGUGUGGGAUAGUCAUCUUUUUUCAUGGCAUGUUAUGGGGUUUGGAAGAGUUGUAUCCUACAAAAUCAAUUAGCAAUUUGCUAUAUGGUUUCUCAUUAAGAAAUCUCUUUUUUAGUGAGAAGGUUGAAUAUCUUUAUUCACCAACAUUAGAAAGGUGGUUUCGAAAAUCAAUGACGAUGACCAAACAUAACGAAAUCACCUAGGUACAUGAUUUCCAUCAACCGAAUUGCCUAUAUAUGGAAAUUCUACCAUGAUCCAACGUGAGGCUCGUUUCUUUAUUCCUAAUCAUUACUCUUUUCUCUGCACAUUCUUCACAAUCUCUAUCGAAAUUAAAAUCAAAGAAAGUCUUUCAUAAGUAUAAUAGUAAGUUUAGUUAUAUCAUAGAAAGUCUAUACGAAGUACGUAAUUUAUGAAUCUUAGACAUGCCAUUUUCUUAACAACAGCUCCUAUUAAUGCAUUAAUUUUUUAAAACCUGUCCUUAUGGUUCAGAUAUUCUUGGAAGAAUAAAAAGCUUAUAUUAUUGUAACAAAGUACUAAUAAUCUUAGAUUUAUAAAAUAUAUAUAAGAGUAAAUUUACCUUGUCAUAAAGUACUCACAUAUAUCUCCCAAGCAUAAUGCCUAGCUUGGUAAAAAAUCUAAGCCAUUAUUUUAAAAAUAUAUAGCAGGAUUUGGUGAAACUCAAAGAGAAACUAUAUUUCUGAAAAUUGUAAAUUAACAAACCAUACUACAAACUUGGCAAUGGUCGGGCAGACAAUAAAGAAAAGUUUGUCUUUUAGAACCAUCUAUUCAUUUAUAGGACCAGAGUAUAAUACCUAACCCGUGUUCAAAAAAUCGCUAGGCGCUAGUCGGGCGGUGAGGGUGCGCCUAGCGCCUAGCAAGAAAAUCGGGGAUUACAUGGGGAUUAAUCAGAGAUUAGUUUUAGGGCUAUUUAAUAUUUUAAAAACAUAUUAAUCCAUUAUAAUUAAGUAAUUUAUAUAAUAUUGUUUUUAAAAUUGUAUUAAACACAUGAAAACAAGAUUUUAAUUUCAAAUUUAUGAUUUUUAUACAAAUUACGAACAUAAGUAGGACGUUUUGAAUUUUAGAUGAAAAAAAAAGUAAAAAAAAAAAAAAAAAAAAAAAAAAAAAAAAAAAAAAAAAUUGGGCUAGGCGCCGUCUAGGCGGGCUAGGCGGCCGCCUAGGCGGUCCAGGCGGGCAAAAAAUCGGAUCUCCGAUUUUUCUCACCGAUUUGGACAAAAUCGCCGCGGUGCUCCUCCGAUCAGCGCCUAGGCGGCCGCCUAGACGGCUAGGCGGCCGAUUUUUAGAACAGGGUACCUAACUAACACAAAAAUAACAUAAGAGAUACCGUUGCAUCAAUACUAAUAUCAAUUGAAUAGAUUGAAAUUCCUAGAACACCUCAAUUAACAAUACUAAAAUUAACUCUGGAACCAUAUGCUACUUCCAAUAACUAUUUUACUGAAAAAGUAUGAUCUUACCAGCUAGCUGGAAAAAUAGGCUUUUACGACAGAGUUUAUCGCACAUGUUCUUCAAUCUAAUUAAAAGACUUGACAGAAGCCAUGACAGCAACAUGACGAGAGGUGCCAUGAAGGCAGCAGAGAUGUUAACAAACUUGAGAAUUUGGUGUCACCAUCCAAUUCAGUAUAUGAUCUUUUGAAAGUAAGUGCCUCCCGAUAUUUUUCAGGUGCAGCGAUCUGAAGCAAUUGUCCACAAAAGAGUCAACAUAAGGUUAGACUUUAUCAUAAACGUAGGGAUUG
RNAcentral lists this long non-coding RNA (29974 nucleotides) under Arabidopsis lyrata. RNAcentral's name for it is "long non-coding RNA (ALYR_LNC003400)". The stretch from base 19356 to 19462 matches the Rfam family "Plant small nucleolar RNA R71". The record is from RNAcentral. Lineage: Eukaryota; Viridiplantae; Streptophyta; Magnoliopsida; Brassicales; Brassicaceae.